RNAcentral lists this ribosomal RNA (434 nucleotides) under uncultured bacterium. Its description in RNAcentral is "partial 16S ribosomal RNA". It matches the Rfam family "Bacterial small subunit ribosomal RNA", at positions 29 to 507 of the family's 1533-position model. The record is from RNAcentral.
AGCGAACGCUGGCGGCAGGCCUAACACAUGCAAGUCGAACGAACCUUUCGGGGUUAGUGGCGGACGGGUGAGUAACACGUGGGAACGUGCCUUUAGGUUCGGAAUAACUCAGGGAAACUUGUGCUAAUACCGAAUGUGCCCUUCGGGGGAAAGAUUUAUCGCCUUUAGAGCGGCCGGCGUCUGAUUAGCUAGUUGGUUGAGGUAAUGGCUCACCAAGGCGACGAUCAGUAGCUGGUCUGAGAGGAUGAUCAGCCACAUUGGGACUGAGACACGGCCCAAACUCCGACGGGAGGCAGCAGUGGGGAAUCUUGCGCAAUGGGCGAAAGCCUGACGAAGCCAUGCCGCGUGAAUGAUGAAGGUCUUAGGAUUGUAAAAUUCUUUCACCGGGGACGAUAAUGACGGUACCCGGAGAAGAAGCCCCGGCUAACUUCGUG